AUUUGUGGAUUUGCAGCUGGAUAUUUACUUUGAGGCGUUCCAUUGAUGCGGACCGGAUUGCAGCCGAAAGGGAAAUGUCAAUGGAAAAUGAGAACAAUUCUGGGAGCCUUUCGAUAUUCAAUUGAGCAGCCAGCUGCCAAUGAAGAAGUGUAGGAAAACCCCUGAGACUUUUAUCCUUUUUACUGACAUUGCAUAACGACAUAAUGGACAGACGUUUAUCCAGGAUCCACGUUUAUCCCUGUUGGAUGCACCUUGAAGAUGUUUAAUUCAGUGGCUAAGUCCCCUUUUAUGGUCCUUAUUGCACUCGGAAUCUAAUACAAUGGGAAUAACUCUUUGAAGUAUUGGUUGGGAGUUUGGGGUAACUUUAGUCGUAUUUACUGUAGAACUUUGAGCAUCUGUUCCAAUUAAAUUACGUGAAUACAA
Molecule: small RNA, 423 nt
Filed under: Drosophila pseudoobscura pseudoobscura
Lineage: Eukaryota; Metazoa; Arthropoda; Insecta; Diptera; Drosophilidae
Description: GA32311
Source: RNAcentral